AAAGCUACCCCGGGGAUAACAGGCUUAUCUCCCCCAAGAGUCCACAUCGACGGGGAGGUUUGGCACCUCGAUGUCGGCUCAUCGCAUCCUGGGGCUGUAGUCGGUCCCAAGGGUUGGGCUGUUCGCCCAUUAAAGCGGUACGCGAGCUGGGUUCAGAACGUCGUGAGACAGUUCGGUCCCUAUCCGUCGCGGGCGCAGGAAAUUUGAGAGGAGCUGUCCUUAGUACGAGAGGACCGGGAUGGACGCACCGCUGGUGUACCAGUUGUUCUGCCAAGGGCAUCGCUGGGUAGCUAUGUGCGGACGGGAUAAGUG
Molecule: ribosomal RNA, 312 nt
Filed under: Bacillus licheniformis
Lineage: Bacteria; Bacillati; Bacillota; Bacilli; Caryophanales; Bacillaceae
Description: bacterial LSU rRNA
Rfam family: Bacterial large subunit ribosomal RNA
Source: RNAcentral